AGUGAACGCUGGCGGUAGGCCUAACACAUGCAAGUCGAACGGCAGCACAGUAAGAGCUUGCUCUUACGGGUGGCGAGUGGCGGACGGGUGAGGAAUACAUCGGAAUCUACUUUUUCGUGGGGGAUAACGUAGGGAAACUUACGCUAAUACCGCAUACGACCUACGGGUGAAAGCAGGGGAUCUUCGUACCUUGCGCGAUUGAAUGAGCCGAUGUCGGAUUAGCUAGUUGGCGGGGUAAAGGCCCACCAAGGCGACGAUCCGUAGCUGGUCUGAGAGGAUGAUCAGCCACACUGGAACUGAGACACGGUCCAGACUCCUACGGGAGGCAGCAGUGGGGAAGAUUGGACAAUGGGCGCAAGCCUGAUCCAGCCAUACCGCGUGGGUGAAGAAGGCCUUCGGGUUGUAAAGCCCUUUUGUUGGGAAAGAAAAGCAGCAGGUUAAUACCCCGCUGUUCUGACGGUACCCAAAGAAUAAGCACCGGCUAACUUCGUG
Molecule: ribosomal RNA, 492 nt
Filed under: uncultured bacterium
Lineage: Bacteria
Description: partial 16S ribosomal RNA
Rfam family: Bacterial small subunit ribosomal RNA
Source: RNAcentral